CCUACGGGUGGCAGCAGUGAGGAAUAUUGGUCAAUGGACGAGAGUCUGAACCAGCAAAGUAGCGUGAAGGAUGACUGCCCUAUGGGUUGUAAACUUCUUUUAUAUGGGAAUAAAAUGUUCCACGUGUGGGAUUUUGUAUGUCCCAUAUGAAUAAGGAUCGGCUAACUCCGUGCCAGCAGCCGCGGUAAUACGGAGGAUCCGAGCGUUAUCCGGAUUUAUUGGGUUUAAAGGGAGCGUAGGUGGAUUGUUAAGUCAGUUGUGAAAGUUUGCGGCUCAACCGUAAAAUUGCAGUUGAAACUGGCAGUCUUGAGUACAGUAGAGGUGGGCGGAAUUCGUGGUGUAGCGGUGAAAUGCUUAGAUAUCACGAAGAACUCCGAUUGCGAAGGCAGUUCACUGGACUGCAACUGACACUGAGGCUCGAAAGUGUGGGUAUCAAACAGGAUUAGAUACCCGUGUAGUC
This 460-nucleotide ribosomal RNA is filed under the name uncultured bacterium. RNAcentral describes it as "partial 16S ribosomal RNA". It matches the Rfam family "Bacterial small subunit ribosomal RNA", at positions 338 to 795 of the family's 1533-position model. The record is from RNAcentral.